AAUUAAAGGAAUUGACGGGACCCGCACAAGCGGUGGAUGAUGUGGAUUAAUUCGAUGCAACGCGAAAAACCUUACCUACCCUUGACAUGUACGGAACCCCUGCUGAGAGGUGGGGGUGCUCGAAAGAGAGCCGUAACACAGGUGCUGCAUGGCUGUCGUCAGCUCGUGUCGUGAGAUGUUGGGUUAAGUCCCGCAACGAGCGCAACCCUUGUCAUUAGUUGCUACGCAAGAGCACUCUAAUGAGACUGCCGGUGACAAACCGGAGGAAGGUGGGGAUGACGUCAAGUCCUCAUGGCCCUUAUAGGUGGGGCUACACACGUCAUACAAUGGCCGGUACAAAGGGCUGCCAACCCGCGAGGGGGAGCUAAUCCCAUAAAACCGGUCGUAGUCCGGAUCGUAGUCUGCAACUCGACUACGUGAAGUCGGAAUCGCUAGUAAUCGUGGAUCAGAAUGUCACGGUGAAUACGUUCCCGGGUCUU
RNAcentral lists this ribosomal RNA (479 nucleotides) under uncultured Comamonadaceae bacterium. Its description in RNAcentral is "bacterial SSU rRNA". It matches the Rfam family "Bacterial small subunit ribosomal RNA", at positions 899 to 1382 of the family's 1533-position model. Lineage: Bacteria; Pseudomonadati; Pseudomonadota; Betaproteobacteria; Burkholderiales; Comamonadaceae. The record is from RNAcentral.